GAAAUUGGGCUGGCUGGGUGCGGAGGCGGCGGCGCGCCCUGUGGGGGCGCAGUGUCCUGCUCGGAUCCCCGAGGAAGUCACCGGCUUGCCCAGACCCCAGAACGCGCACCGGGCCUCACCUGUCUCUUUCUGUACCCCCCCCCCGGAAGUGUUUCUGCUAUGAAGUCUGGAUGGGUGAUGGUCUCUGAAUGAUAAAACCUCCGGGUCAGAGUUCCCUGGGGUUGACUUUGGAACUGAUGGGAAGUUAAAACUUACGUGUGGAAAAACAAAACUUGACAGGGAGAGCAUUUAAAACUUCAGAAAGACGAGAUGGACCACGCAUUACUCUCUCCAUCUCCUGUAAGGAAGGUGUGGGAUGUGGGACUGAUUCAGAUGGCCCACAGCAGCAGACUAUUUGCCUCCUGCGGGCUAUGAGAGGAGCUCUUUGCCAGCUGCAGAUAAUUUAAAUCUGAGGACUCUGGAGAGGGAAUAAAGGCAAGAACCCUGAGAGUGUGGAGAAAAGAGAAAGAACAAGGCUGCUCCUGCUUCCCCUUUGCUGCUUCUAGUUGCUGUUGUGAGACAAGAAGAUGGAGAUCUCCUGAAACAAGGAUUAGACUGGCUCCAAGGAACCCGAUAACCCUAACCAGCAGGAAGCAGCUAAGAGAACUGUACCCCCUCUCCCACUAACCCUUUCUCCCUACCUGGUGUUGGAAGGAAUUGGGGUAAAAUAGGGAGAAAAAGACAGAAGUGUAAAUAAAAGAGUUUUUUUUUAAAGUACUCUAACACAUUCUCCUUUUUACUAGUUGAACUUUGACCAUGCAAGGACUUAUUAGAUUUGUACCUGUAUCUUUCAGUUUGAAGUUGUUAGUCUUUCUGUUCUUAAAAUACCUUUAAAAACUUUACGGAGGAAUAGAGCUGGAUCUGACCUAAAAGCCUCUUCCCAGAGGGUUAGCUUUCAAUAACACUGCAAGUUAUGCAACCUGCCGAUGGAGGAAAACAGCCUAUCCACCUGUGAAGACUAUGAGUCACAACAGUAACCAGCUUGGCAAGAUAUGCCCCAAGGUGCAAUAGUGGCACCUGUGCCUUAGGGAUGACCAACAGCCGUCUAAUCGGAUCUGCUGUUACUAACAUUUCUGUUGCUGUGAUACUGUUAGGCCCAGCAAGAGCCUAAAUAUAAGAAGGUAUGAAGAGAACUCAGGAAACUAAUCAUCCAUCGAUGCAAAAACGGCUGCGCGGCCCACGUCUCCCUCAAACUCCAGCAGCUUGAGACCACGUGCUCAAAUACGUAUGCCUACAGUCUCUCCCGAGAAACGGCAGGUGGGUAGAAUGGCGCUUCAGGUGUUGGCCUGGUUUUUCUCCUUGCCCUACCACACUGACCCCUCCGUCUCUGACAGAAAUAAACCCCCUACAGUAGUUUGUAUAAAAUACAAAUGAGGUCCUUUCAGUUCCAUGUUUAAUGCGCUUCGGUGGCUGUUGCCUAGCCGGACCUAGAGUAAAAAACACAGAAUCCUUAACCAUCUCCACAGUGUGGCCCAGCUUGGCGCUCGCUGGUCUCCCUACCACAUCCUUUCUCUCCCCUUCCCUCGUGCUCUGUCCUUGGUGCCCUGGCUUGUUAUCUGCAUCCACCAAGCUUUUCCUUCCUCACAGCCUGACCAAAACAGCAAAGAAACCAGAGCCCAGUACAAGAAGUAGAGCCCAUUGCAACUCUGCACUGAGCAUGUAUGUACUUAUGAAAGCACCUUCUUCCUUUUUUUUUUUUUUUGUUGUUGUUGUUUGUUUUUGGAGACCAAAAACCAAGUGUUGGCUUGGUUCUGGACUCACUUUGUAGACCAGGCUGGCCUCGAAAUCACAGAGAGUUCUGCUUGCCUCUGUCUCCCUGAGUGCUGCGAUUACAGGCAUGGGGAACUCCUUUCUUCAUAAUCAAAGCUCCAUCAGGCUUCUUCAGAACCUCUUCUGGACUUGACCUCCGCUGUGGCCUGCAUUCUGCCUGGACCUGCCUAGAAAUUCUGUCGGUUACCGAAAAUCCCAGCAGGUCUGAUGAGCAGAGAUUCCUCAUCCUGACAUCAGAUCAUUUCCUUGUCCCCCAAAUUUGGUUUCUGGUCGCCUUGGUCUGCCUUCAGCCAGAUUUCCAUUAAGUUGGUUUCUCAAGAGUCCUUCAGCACUGAUGUCUCAGUCAUUUUUCCUCUCCAUCUCCCUUACUGUAUGUGGCACUCCAGCUAUUUUUGUGGUAUUUCAAAGUCUAGGUCAGUCUUUCUUUUCUAUUGCAGUGACCUUGGCACUUCCAAUAGCCCCGAAUAAAAUCUUCCGCUUAUUUUAGCAAA
This is a long non-coding RNA of Meriones unguiculatus (Mongolian gerbil), 2300 nucleotides long. RefSeq lists it as uncharacterized. Lineage: Eukaryota; Metazoa; Chordata; Mammalia; Rodentia; Muridae. The record is from RefSeq and is a predicted model, not a curated record. The transcript has 4 exons.